AGCUGCGCGCUGAGCUCGCGGCAGUACGGGGAGCGCCCGCCCGCCCCGCCCUGGACCCAACCAAGCGUCCCGCGGAGGGGUGCGGCCACUUGGGGGCAGGAGAAAGCGGAGUACGCCACCCCUCUAGGGACCCAGGAAGCGAGGCGAGCCUCAGGUGGACGCGGUGGUGUGGACCACGGCGAUCAGGGCCUUUCCCCCUGCUGUGGAGACGGAGGUGCGAGGGGACGCCGGCGGCUCCCCACCUUCUGGCCGAGUGGCCUUCUCCGCCUCCGGCUGGACUCCCUCGGGGCGCUCCCUCCAGAGCCGAGUCGGGCUGGCCGGGGGCGGCUGUUUGGCCUGAGUGUCGUCUUACUAAAGCGGAACGCCGGAGGGGAGGCCACUCCGAGAGAAGGCGGUCCCCGGCGGAGGUGGCUUCGUGAAUCCUGCAGCCCCCUGCCCGCCCGCCACUCGAGACGCCGCGCCUCGUGGGUUUCACGCUGGAUGGAGGGGGCGCCGCCGAGGAUGCCCAGCCUCCCCCUCUAAUUCUACCUCUCCAGUUCCUCAGGUAGACACAGCCUCUGUCUGCUGUGGUUUUAGUGCCCAUGGCCCCUCAGAAAUUAUUUUUGUCCCCUCCCGAUAGUGGCUUUGGGGGAUGGAGGGCGAGAGAUGCAAAGGGCCAGUGGAAGAUUUUUUAUAGCACAAGGAAUCAAGCCAGGAGAUGGAGGUUUCAUUGCCACCUCGGGGUCUGGGGAGGGGGCGAGCCACACCUCUCCGGUCAGUCUGCGCCCACCAGGACCUGCUGCUGGGAACCGCACACGAAAGGAGAGACACCCAGCACCUGGCCCCUAGACCCGCAGGGCGUCAACCUCCUGGGCUUCUGCCUUUCUAGGUUUCCUCUGACUUUGCUGACCCAAUGACCCCUGGCCACGGGUGGCAAAAACGCCCUCACUGAGCCCUUCGCUAAAGGAGUGCCGGGGUUUAUGUGUCUGGCUUUUAAAAUGGGAUGAGGAGACAAGGAAACAGGACCUGAGAAAGGACACUAUCCAAAAUCUGAUGCUCUCAGAAGUCAACUUUAAAACUGCCCUGCUCCGCGGUGGCUCACGCCUGUAAUCCCAGCACUUUGGGAGGCCGAGGCGGGCGGAUCACGAGGUCAGGA
Molecule: long non-coding RNA, 1135 nt
Filed under: Homo sapiens (human)
Lineage: Eukaryota; Metazoa; Chordata; Mammalia; Primates; Hominidae
Description: non-protein coding FRMD6-AS1:4
Source: RNAcentral